Molecule: long non-coding RNA, 391 nt
Organism: Pseudophryne corroboree (corroboree frog)
Lineage: Eukaryota; Metazoa; Chordata; Amphibia; Anura; Myobatrachidae
Exons: 4
Source: RefSeq, a predicted model, not a curated record
UGCUUUCCACCUUACUUCCGGUCACUGCAUUCCAUUCCAUACACGCACAGGGUUAAACAGUGGUAAAGAAGACAUCCGAUCGCAUUGUGUUAGGAGGACUGAGCAGAACCCAGAGCCCCAUCACGGUGCCUCUACCUCACUCACUGAUACAUGAGACACAAUAACCAAAAGAUCCUGGAACUCACCAACAAGACGAUUCAGUUGCUGACUGGAGAGGAGGUGGAGUAUAUAGAGGAACAUAGGGGUCUGUACAAGGACGUGAUGAUGGAGAAUCACCGGCCCCUCACAUCACUGGAUGGGCCCAGUAACAGAGAUACCCCAGAGAGAUGUCCCCGUCCUCUGUAUUCCCAGGAUUGUACAGAGGAGAAUCACAGGACCCCACAGGAGGAUC